AUAUUUAAACUAACUUGGGAAACAUGAAAAAGACACCUUGAAGUCUCAAGAAUUGUAAUUCAGAAGAAACCUUUCAACGUGUUUUUCUUUGCUGUGGAAGGGUAAAGGGGUUCUGGGACAUGAAGAAGAAAUAGUCUGUGCAUAAGGUGGCAAGCUCAGUUACUAUGGAGUUGGAAGAACUGAAAUGCGGACUUUGCUUUCUUGGCAAAGAAGGUGUUUUCAUUGGCAGCCUGACCAUGGACAGACAUGUUUAUUUAAAUAGAUACAUGACAGUCAUCCCAAUAUGAAACAGUGAUUGGCAUGUGACAUAUAUCCAAAGGUAUUAGUCAGUGCAAAAUGGAGGUCAUAUCAAACCAGUGUUUACUGAGGGGCAUCCCCACUAUGCAUCCAUUACAUCAGACAUCAGCACUGGAAGUGCAUCAUCACAUGUUUACUUUUUUUUACACCAAAGGUGAUACACUACUUCUUUGACAGCAUGCAGACCAGGUUGAUGAAAUCUGCACUGCACUUCAAUCAGAAUGUUAUUCGGUCACAGAAAAUCAUGGUUGCUGGUGAGGCUUAGUAGACAGUAUUAUACCCGCAAAGACAAGGAGGUGAACCCAUCAUGAAGGAACUGAAAGUGCUCUAACUUACAGUACUGAAAGCUUCAUCUGCAUCAGUACUUAUGUCUUCCAUAAUGUACUGUAUAGCAUCAUUGGCUGUUUAGCAUAUGUAUGACUGCAAUAUGUACUGACUUGCAAUUGUUUUUAUAGUGCUUGAAAUAAUUCAUGCAGUGCAAGUUACUACCAAUUGGUGUGUGUACACAAUACCAACAUAUAACAGCAUCUCUGCUUUCAUUUAAGAUGCGUGUGGACUUCAAAAAGGGCUCUUUUCUCCACACAGAAGAUAUUCCAUCAUGCAUCUAGGCAUUAAAUAGAAAUAUGUUAAUACUACAGCCCACAGUAGCCACCUCCAAAUAUAAGCACCAUAGCAAGACAGACCUCAUUGAAUGUUUAAGAAGCAGAUUGCAUUAUAGAAUGAAUGGAAUAUAUGAUG
Protopterus annectens (West African lungfish) is the source of this 1035-nucleotide long non-coding RNA. RefSeq lists it as uncharacterized. The transcript has 4 exons. The record is from RefSeq and is a predicted model, not a curated record. NCBI's taxonomy places the organism in Eukaryota, Metazoa, Chordata, Ceratodontiformes, Protopteridae.